Artibeus jamaicensis (Jamaican fruit-eating bat) is the source of this 277-nucleotide long non-coding RNA. RefSeq lists it as uncharacterized. The transcript is spliced from 3 exons. The record is from RefSeq and is a predicted model, not a curated record. NCBI's taxonomy places the organism in Eukaryota, Metazoa, Chordata, Mammalia, Chiroptera, Phyllostomidae.
AGGCCUGCCUAUUUUUAGAAAAACAAAUUCCUUUUCUCUUUUCAAGAGGGAGAAAUGUCCCGAGCUGUCAUCUAGGACAGUGAGCAGCCACCCUGCAGCUGUCUGCGGUGUCAGAUGUGGACGUUCCUAUGGCAGGACAGUGCCAGCCGGGACCCGUCCAGAUGACAAAAUUUAAAUCUCCAAUAUGCAGAAAUUGCAAUGAAGCAGAUGUGAGCCGAGCUCCCCGAAGUCUCUCCUCGUCUGAGAAUCCUGCACCGCCUGCCCGGCCAGUGAAGCG